AGCGUGCUUAACUGCGAGACCGACAAGUCGAGCAGGUGCGAAAGCAUGUCAUAGUGAUCCGGUGGUUCUGUAUGGAAGGGCCAUCGCUCAACGGAUAAAAGGUACUCUGGGGAUAACAGGCUGAUACCGCCCAAGAGUUCAUAUCGACGGCGGUGUUUGGCACCUCGAUGUCGGCUCAUCUCAUCCUGGGGCUGUAGCCGGUCCCAAGGGUAUGGCUGUUCGCCAUUUAAAGAGGUACGUGAGCUGGGUUUAAAACGUCGUGAGACAGUUUGGUCCCUAUCUGCCGUGGGCGUUGGAUAUUUGAAGGGGGCUGCUCCUAGUACGAGAGGACCGGAGUGGACGAACCUCUGGUGUACCGGUUGUGACGCCAGUCGCAUCGCCGGGUAGCUAUGUUCGGAAGAGAUAACCGCUGAAAGCAUCUAAGCGGGAAACUCGCCUUAAGAUGAGAUAUCCCUGGGGACUUGAUCCCCUUGAAGGGUCGUUCGAGACCAGGACGUUGAUAGGUCGGGUGUGUAAGCGCAGUAAUGCGUUCAGCUAACCGAUACUAAUUGCCCGUAAGGCUUGAUCCUAUAACA
This 575-nucleotide ribosomal RNA is filed under the name Burkholderia ubonensis. Its description in RNAcentral is "bacterial LSU rRNA". It matches the Rfam family "Bacterial large subunit ribosomal RNA", at positions 2362 to 2925 of the family's 2925-position model. Lineage: Bacteria; Pseudomonadati; Pseudomonadota; Betaproteobacteria; Burkholderiales; Burkholderiaceae. The record is from RNAcentral.